AGCAGCCGCGGUAAUUCCAGCUCCAAUAGCGUAUAUUAAAGUUGUUGCAGUUAAAAAGCUCGUAGUUGAAUUUCGGGGUCUGCCCGUCGGUCGGGCUUCACGGUCCGUACUGGUGUGAUGGGUUCCCACCUUCUGAAUAACCGGCAUGCCAUUCAGUUGGUGCGCCGGGGAAGCAGAGCUAUUACCUUGAAAAAAUUAGAGUGCUUAAAGCAGGCUAGUGCUUGAAUAGAUUAGCAUGGAAUAAUAAAAUAGGACGGCAUGGUUCUAUUUUGUUGGUUUCUAGGAUCACCGUAAUGAUUAAUAGGGAUAGUUGGGGGCAUUAGUAUUCAAUUGUCAGAGGUGAAAUUCUUGGAUUUAUUGAAGACUAACUUCUGCGAAAGCAUUUGCCAAGGAUGUUUUCAUUAAUCAAGAACGAAAGUUAGGGGAUCGAAGACG
RNAcentral lists this ribosomal RNA (435 nucleotides) under uncultured Acaulospora. RNAcentral describes it as "SSU rRNA". It matches the Rfam family "Eukaryotic small subunit ribosomal RNA", at positions 569 to 1006 of the family's 1831-position model. The record is from RNAcentral. Lineage: Eukaryota; Fungi; Glomeromycota; Glomeromycetes; Diversisporales; Acaulosporaceae.